This 1447-nucleotide long non-coding RNA is filed under the name Equus caballus (horse). RNAcentral's name for it is "lncRNA (ENSECAG00000043480.2)". The record is from RNAcentral. Lineage: Eukaryota; Metazoa; Chordata; Mammalia; Perissodactyla; Equidae.
CCCAUCUCCAGGCCACACCCCUGGGUUCAGAUCCCGCAGAAUAUGGGCUCAUUCUGUGACCGCCCAUACAGUGCCGAGGACUCUGAUUGGACCAACGUGAGUCACAUGCACACUUUGAACCAAUCACACGAGCCCAGGGGCUCAGGGUGCUGAUUGGCCAGGCCUGUCAGCAUGCUGUGAGUUGGGGGGAUCCAAUCAAGGACUUUUCAUGGAGAAGGCUGGGCGGUCACAGUGCUGGUCCCCUGGUGCUAGGUCUUCUCACCUGCUUUCUUGGCUGGCUGAGCCCCUGGGAAACCGGGAGGUCACAGAGAAGCUGAGGCCCCAUGCUGAUACCCUCAUAAGGAAACUGUAGCUUCUUGUUCCCUAGACUUCUUUGACCCAGUAUGGGCACCAUGGGAACCUGACGGCCCGGGCCCUGGACCCCCAACUGAGACCCACCCCGGGAGAAGCCUGGACCAAAGAGACUGAGUGGGGAUCAGGGCUCAGCCGCAGUAGGGCACGGGGGUCUGGAACAGCCCUGGUCCCCACGUCCUGAGAAUUCCCUUGGAGGGGACCCACCUUCAGGCAGAGGCUCCCAUUUUGGACUUUGUGUGAGUGAUUCAUAACUGGUUUCCUGUUGACCGUUAUACAUGUGCAGUUGUUUACAGCUUGCAGUGUCUCGGCUCAUUCAUCACCUCCCCCCCAUCCACAGAGCAACAUGGCUUUGUGGGGGUCACGGCAUUACCACGUCCACUCCAGUCCCUGCCUGUUGUUCUCUGAUGGAGACACAGCACCUGCUGGAUCACAGGACGAGGUGCCACCUGUGGGCUGUAGAUGAAGAUCACCCACUGCAGGAGGACCUGGGACGUGCGGAUCCAGGAGUUGACAUGACACGUGGGGAUCCAGGAGGUGACAUGACACGUGUGGAUCCAGGAGGUGACAUGACACGUGCGGAUCCAGGGGGUGACAUGACACGUGAGGAUCCAGGGGGUGACAUGACACGUGCGGAUCCAGGAGGUGACAUGACACGUGCGGAUCCAGGGGGUGACAUGACACGUGAGGAUCCAGGGGGUGACAUGACACGUGCGGAUCCAGGAGGUGACAUGACACGUGUGGAUCCAGGGGGUGACAUGACACGUGUGGAUCCAGGGGGUGACAUGACACGUGCGGAUCCAGGAGGUGACAUGACAUGUGCGGAUCCAGGGGGUGACAUGACACGUGCGGAUCCAGGGGGUGACAUGACACGUGCGGAUCCAGGGGGUGACAUGACACGUGUGGAUCCAGGGGGUGACAUGACACGUGCGGAUCCAGGAGAUGUGAGACGUGUGUGGAUCCAGGAGAUGAUGUCGGAUGUGAAGAUCCAGGAUACAACAUCAGAUGGGAGCAUGUUGUUGGAGAGAUAUUAUCAGAAAUAAAGAAUCCAGCAAAGAUGCUCCCAAUUAAAAGAUGUUUAAUAGGCAGAUGUUUU